RNAcentral lists this ribosomal RNA (228 nucleotides) under uncultured bacterium. Its description in RNAcentral is "partial 16S ribosomal RNA". It matches the Rfam family "Bacterial small subunit ribosomal RNA", at positions 30 to 253 of the family's 1533-position model. The record is from RNAcentral.
AUUGAACGCUGGCGGAAUGCUUUACACAUGCAAGUCGAGCGGCAGCGCGGGGGCAACCCUGGCGGCGAGCGGCGAACGGGUGAGUAAUACAUCGGAACGUGUCCUUAAGUGGGGAGUAGCUCGGCGAAAGACCGGAUUAAUACCGCAUAAGCUCUGAGGAGGAAAGACGGGGCGUCCGUAAGGACCUCGCGCUGUUGGAGGCGGCCGAUGUCGGAUUAGCUAGUUGGU